This 984-nucleotide ribosomal RNA is filed under the name Triticum aestivum (bread wheat). RNAcentral's name for it is "partial small subunit ribosomal RNA". The record is from RNAcentral. Lineage: Eukaryota; Viridiplantae; Streptophyta; Magnoliopsida; Poales; Poaceae.
AUGGUCCAGCAGACCGCCCGCCAGCUGCAUAACCUUCGCGUGCCUCGUUUUCUCCUCAAACUUGACAUCACACGCACGUUUGACAUGGUAUCCUGGGCCUUCCUCCUCGACGUGCUCAGCCACCUGGGCUUCGAACGGCGGUGGAUCGAGUGGAUUGCCAUCUUACUCUCCACGUCCAGCACGAGCGUCCUCAUCAAUGGAUCCCCAGGCCCCCCAGCCCACGCUUGCGGUCUGCGGCAAGGCGGUCCCGUUUCCCCGAUGUUGUUUACCAUUGCCAUCGAUGCCCUCAACUCACUCCUCAUCCACGCCCACCGCAGCGGCCUCCUUCAGCGACUCACCGGUCGACACGCCCCUUCGAGCAUCUCCCUCUAUGCCAACGACGUGAUCAUCUUCUGCCAUCCCUCGACCCGCGAUCUCCGGGUCAUUUGGGAGCUGUUGCGUGUCUUUGGCGAGGCAUCUGGGCUCUGCACGAACUUUCCUAAGUGUUCGGCAACCUCGACCCGCUGCGACGACCCCAUGCGAGCUACCAUCGAGUUUGAGCUCGCAUGCGUUGUCAUGGACCUCCCUAUCACAUACAUGUGCAUCCCUCUCUCACUCCGGAGACCGUCCGCCUCGUCGCUCUGGCCGAUUGUGGAGAAGCUUGCCAAGAAGCUUUCCUCCUGGCGCGCAAUGCUCCUAUCCCACGGCGAGCGACUUGCCCUCGUCCGCCACGUGCUAUGCGCGAUCCCCUCCCACAUCAUGGUCGUCAUCGCUCGCUGCCUGAUGAUUAUCAAGCAGGUGAAUCGGACCAUCCGAGAAUUCCUUUGGCAUGGCAAUAAGGAGACCCGUGUUGGUCAUGGACCGGUGAACUGGCAGCGCAUCUGCCGGCCCCUCCAUCUUGGCGAGCUUGGCAUCCCGGACCUCCAUCGGCAAGGGAUAUCGCUCCGUGUGCGCUGGUUGUGGCUGCAGCGCACCGACCCGGCUAGUGAAGGAAAUAUGCCCUAG